UCCUGGUUUCCCAGGCAGUCUCGUUAGAGUGCUUCCAAAAGGAAUAGCAACUAACGACAGGAGUUGCGCUCGUUAAAGGACUUAACCCAACAUCUCACGACACGAGCUGACGACAGCCAUGCAGCACCUGUGAAUUUGUCCUUAGUAAACUAAGGAAAGCCAUAUUUCUAUGGCGGUCAAAAACAUGUCAAGUCUAGGUAAGGUUCCUCGCGUAGUGUCGAAUUAAACCACAUGUUCCACCGCUUGUGCGGACCCCCGUCAAUUUCUUUAAGUUUUAAUCUUGCGACCGUACUCCCCAGGCGGAUCACUUAACGCGUUAGCUUCGACACUAACCCUGCAAAACAGGGCUAACGUCCAGUGAUCAUCGUUUACGGCGUGGACUAC
This 384-nucleotide unclassified non-coding RNA is filed under the name uncultured bacterium. RNAcentral's name for it is "contains 16S-23S intergenic spacer region". The record is from RNAcentral.